GAGGAGUAGAUGGGACAAAAUCGUGACCUGUCGAUCGCGUGCGGCCCGUAGGGCGGCGUCGUCGGGGAAAACGGACAAUACCUUGCGACGGUGGAGAGGAAAAGGUGUCCGUAAUCUUAACACGUGUGCACAACAAGGAAGAAUACACUCUGUUUGUUAUCUACAUUUAUGGGAAUUAUUUCUUCGAAAAUCAUGUAUGUUAGAAAUAGACAAUACCAUCAAAAGAAAGA
Molecule: long non-coding RNA, 230 nt
Filed under: Elaeis guineensis (African oil palm)
Lineage: Eukaryota; Viridiplantae; Streptophyta; Magnoliopsida; Arecales; Arecaceae
Description: long non-coding RNA (EGUI_LNC001640)
Source: RNAcentral